GGUGAGGUGGCCGAGCGGUUAAGGCGUUGCGUUUAGGCUGUUCUAAACACUCUCCGCAAUCAGAAAUGGCGUGGGUUCGAAUCCCACCCUCAUCA
Setomelanomma holmii is the source of this 95-nucleotide non-coding RNA. NCBI's taxonomy places the organism in Eukaryota, Fungi, Ascomycota, Dothideomycetes, Pleosporales, Phaeosphaeriaceae. The record is from the annotation of a GenBank genome assembly.